This 77-nucleotide transfer RNA is filed under the name Holosporales bacterium. Its description in RNAcentral is "tRNA-Arg". It matches the Rfam family "tRNA". From Rfam's summary of the family: Transfer RNA (tRNA) molecules are approximately 80 nucleotides in length. Lineage: Bacteria; Pseudomonadati; Pseudomonadota; Alphaproteobacteria; Holosporales. The record is from RNAcentral.
GUAUCCGUAGCUCAGAUGGAUAGAGCGUUGCCCUCCGAAGGCAAAGGUCGUAGGUUCGAAUCCUAUCGGGUACGCCA